RNAcentral lists this ribosomal RNA (491 nucleotides) under uncultured bacterium. RNAcentral's name for it is "partial 16S ribosomal RNA". It matches the Rfam family "Bacterial small subunit ribosomal RNA", at positions 29 to 507 of the family's 1533-position model. The record is from RNAcentral.
GUGAACGCUGGCGGUCGGCCUAACACAUGCAAGUCGAACGGCAGCACAGUAAGAGCUUGCUCUUACGGGUGGCGAGUGGCGGACGGGUGAGGAAUACAUCGGAAUCUACUUUUUCGUGAGGGAUAACGUAGGGAAACUUACGCUAAUACCGCAUACGACCUACGGGUGAAAGCAGGGGAUCUUCGGACCUUGCGCGAUUGAAUGAGCCGAUGUCGGAUUAGCUAGUUGGCGGGGUAAAGGCCCACCAAGGCGACGAUCCGUAGCUGGUCUGAGAGGAUGAUCAGCCACACUGGAACUGAGACACGGUCCAGACUCCUACGGGAGGCAGCAGUGGGGAAUAUUGGACAAUGGGCGCAAGCCUGAUCCAGCCAUACCGCGUGGGUGAAGAAGGCCUUCGGGUUGUAAAGCCCUUUUGUUGGGAAAGAAAAGCAGCAGGUUAAUACCCCGCUGUUCUGACGGUACCCAAAGAAUAAGCACCGGCUAACUUCGUG